This is a long non-coding RNA of Asparagus officinalis (garden asparagus), 400 nucleotides long. RefSeq lists it as uncharacterized. The transcript has 4 exons. NCBI's taxonomy places the organism in Eukaryota, Viridiplantae, Streptophyta, Magnoliopsida, Asparagales, Asparagaceae. The record is from RefSeq and is a predicted model, not a curated record.
CAACCCCCCACCCCUCCCCGUCUCAAAACUCCUCGCAAGCUCCCAGUCUUUCGUCGACUCUCCCUUUCUCACGCCUCUUCGUCUUGUGGUUUCGUCUCCUCAACAAGCUUGAAUCUCUCACUGAGAAUCCAUGGAUGAGGGAGAUUAAGAGGACGAAAAGCAAGUGCCAAGGACUCAGUUUUUUUUGGGGCUCCUCUCUCUGAUCAAUUCAAGUCAAAGCUUCAGUCCUUUGGUGUUCAGGAACAAGGUUAUACUACAGUCUGGACAGUUUAAAGGAGAAUUGAGAUUUUGGUAAUUUUCGUUGUUGAUGCCAGUGGCAGUAUGACAUUAAACCGUAUGCAAAAUGCUAAAGGUGCAGCAUUGAAACUAUUGGCAGAAAGCUAUACUAGAAGAGAUCAGG